GUGCGUCUACAUAGAUUAAAUUAUCUUGAUCCUUUAUUUUAUCUUUUAACGGCUGGGAUUAAAAGAUGCAAACGUAACGUAAAAAUAUGUACGUGUUCAAGUAGUAUAACAUGCCACGUACAAAUAGUGCACAUAGGUUCCAUCCGAAUCGUCAACUAGCCCGUAGAAAGAAAAAAAAAUUAAUCAAUGGGUCAAGGAAGCAAAAAUAGUAGGAAACCUAAACAAAUAAGGACAACGAUUGGACCUAACCAGACCUCACGUGAGGAAGUUCCAAAACAGGAACCAAGACAUGAAAAAAAAGACAGGUUUCCGAUCUGCUUUCACGGUCUCGGCCACCUCAACCCAUGCACCUCCAUCCAUAUAUAAACAAGUACAGCCGGCCGCAGAAGCACACACCAAAAAUUUAGAAGUCGGCAACCAAGAUGGCUUGAAGACAUCACAUGCGAUUCGGCAACUCAGAUGGCUUGAAGACAUCACACGCAACUGGGCCACUUGACAUUUGAUACGCAAAGCCACCUCCAGCCGUUUCACUCUACGUCCGACGAAGUCACGCCAAAGCACACUCAACGCAUGACGAAGCCAUGCCCAGCUACUCCAAUCGACCUCGGAAGAAGUGACGCCAAAGCACUUUUGGCCUAAAUCAUCAGAUAAUUUGGUAAUUGUUAGUAACAGUCUUAUUUUCUCUGGAUAGAAUCUUUAUAAACACUAUAUCAAUUGACAAAUUGUUCCCUAUUAAUAUUCAAGGCAAAACACUAUGACAUGCAAGAAGUUGAGUUGACUUAAAUACAAGGGGACGGAACUGGAACAUUCAUCAAGUAAAACAAAUACGAAUGUGGGAUUCAGUCAAUCCUACCACUGAUGAGCUUAUUAGCCUAGAUAUGAUAUAAGAGCAAAGGAUCAUCAGAAAUCGACCAAAUAAUCAAUGCGGAGAUCUCAGACAAAGAUGUUGAUCCGGACGGAUAUGAAGCUGUUGAAAAUUUCAUGAUGCACGGGCCUUGCAGAGAGGCAAAUACAAAAUGACCAUGCAUGAUGGACAACAGAUGCACUAAACACUUCCCAAAAGGAUACAAUGUCGAUACCACAAUCGAUGAGGAUGGGUUUCCAGUAUAUAGAAGGCGAGACAAUGGAAGGAAUAUCAAAAAGGGAGGAGCAAUGCUCAACAACAGAUUUGUCGUACCAUACAACCGAAACCUUUUGGUCAAUUCCAAGAUCACAUAAAUGUCGAGUGGUGCAACAGGCCCAGGUCAAUCAAGUACCUAUUUAAGAACAUCCAUAAAGAUGACGAUCAGGCAACGGCCUUACUAAAGGAAAGAGAUGCGGCAAACGACUAUGAUGACAUCAAGAAAUACCUAGAGAUGAGAUACAUAUCAACAACUGAAGCAUACUGGCGGAUAUUCCAGUUUGAUCUACACCAUCGUGAUCCACCAGUCGAGAGACUACCAUUCCACAUUGAAAAUGAUCAAGAAGUUAUUUUUCUGGACUCGACUGACAUUGAUAAGAUAGUAAGAAGGCCAGGAUCCACGAGUACUAAGUUCACUGAGUGGAUGGAGGCAAACAAAAUACAUGAGGCAGGAAAAGAAUUAACCUAUGCAGAAUUCCCAUCAAAAUUUGUAUGGAAAAGCGAAACGAAAACUUGGGGAGCCGAGAAGGGGCUUCGCUAUUGGAAGAAUCUACUAUGCACACUCUGCAAGUGGCAGCCGGUAUUAUAUGAGAAUGCUUCUAAACACCGAGAAAGGAUGCACAUAAUUCAGGAUAUUGGAACAGUUAAUGGAGCUAUUCACCCAACAUACAAAUAAGAAUGCCAAGCGCUUGGAUUUCAUGAUGACGACAGUGAGUGGAUUGAAUGCAUCAAUGAAGCAUAAUGCUGGGGCUCAGGGACACAAUUACGAAAAUUAUUCACCACAAUUUUAUGCCAUUGUGAGGUGACCAACCCAAAGAUGUUGAGGGAAUCAACAUGGGAGGCACUGUCUAAAGAUAUCCAGUACAAAAGAAGAAUUAUCCUUAACUUUUCUAUGCUGCAGCUCACUGAUUCAUAGAAAAAGGCAUAUGCUCUGAUUGAGAUAGAGAAACUAAUGAGGCAAGCAGGAAAGACACAAAAGGACUAUCCAGACACAGAACUACCAAAUGCUACAGAACUUGAAGAACUUGGGAACAGAAUGAUAAACGAAAAACUUAGCUAUGACAUGGAGGCACUAAAGAAUGAGCACCAAACCAUAAUAAGCAAUGUUAACCAUGGCCAGAAAAUGACCUUUGAUGCAAUAAUGGAAUCAGCUGCGAAAGGACUUGGAAAACAGAUAUUUGUAGAAGGCUACGGUGGCACAGGCAAAACUUAUCUAUGGAAAGCAAUUACAAGGAAGCUACGGUCAGAGGGAAAGAAAGUGCUUGUGUUAGCAUCAUCUGGCGUUGCAGCUUUGCUCCUACAAGGUGGAAGAACAGCGCACUCAAGAUUCCACAUUCCAAUAAAUUCCAUGGAAGAAUCAACAUGUGAAAUAAAACAAGGCUCACAUUUGGCUGAACUGGUAAAGAAGACCUCACUGAUACUAUGGGACGAGGCUCCUAUGGCAAACAAACACUGCUUCAAUGCACUAGAAAAUAGCCUUAGGGAUAUUCUAAGGUUCACAAACCAAAAUAGUGAAGAAAGGCCAUUUGGUGACAUGAAAGUUGUGCUAGAAGGUGACUUCAGACAAAUACUUAAAGUGAUAACAAAGGAAAAGAGAGAGCAGAUAGUAAAUGCCUCGGUCAAAAGUUCAUACCUAUGGAAGUACUUCGAAAUAUUUAGACUAACUGAAAACAUGCGGCUAAAGUCUGUUAGAAGAUCCAAUAGAAAAGCAAAAUGUGGCCGAAUUUGCAGAAUGGAUAUUACAAUCUGCGAUGAAAAAAUGAAGGGAGAUGAUUGGGUAAGAAUACCUAAAGACAUAAUUCUACAUAAAGGAGAAGACCCCAAAGAAGAGAUAGUAAAAAGCACAUACCCAAACUUGCAGCAAAACUAUCGUAACCGUGAAUUUCUCGAAGAAAGAGCAAUCCUGUGUCCAAGGAAUGAAAUAGUUAAGAUAAAUGACUACAUAAUGAGCCAAAUACAAGGUGAAGAGAUGAAAUACCUAUACUUGGACACUGUGUGCAAGGCAACAAUGAAUUACAACACUAAUGGAGAAUAUGUGUGCAACAGAGUUCCUUAGCAACAUGAUCUUCCCAGGAAUUCCAAUCCAUGAGCUAAAACUAAAGGUAGGUUUGGAGGUGAUGCUCCUACGAAACAAGCAGACGGUUUAUGCAAUGGCACAAGAAUGACUAUCAUACAGCUGGGAAAAAAGGUACAUUGAGGCACAAAUAAUCACACGAACACACGUCGGUGACAAGGUAUACAUACCUAUAAUCAUUAUGUCACCAAGCGACUCAAAGUGGCCCUUUGUGCUGAAAAGAAGGCAAUAUCCUCUAUCAGUUUAUUUCGCAAUGACCAUAACCAAAAGCCAAGGUCAAUCCCUAAACAAGGUGGGCCUAUAUUUGUGUAAGCAAGUCUUCUUCCAUGGGCAAUUCUAUGUAGCAUUAUCAAGAGUCACAAACAGAGAAUGAUUAAAGGUGUUGAUUGACAACACGGAGUACCCAAGCGAAGAUAGCACAAAGAAUAUAGUAUACAAAGUGAUCUUCUAAUUUUUUGUUAUACAAACAAAUGCAUAUGAAGGCCAAAUAAUCAUGAUUAAACAAUACAAUGUAUGGUUCAAAAGUGUGAUGUCCAUGUUUUAGAUAUGUGGCCGGAAAUACUGUACACAAAAGGAUGUUAUAGAUUGGAUUUCUUAUUGUUUUCGUAAACACAAAAUAAGAACAUGACAAUGCAUAUUAUUAUUGCCAUACACUGCUUUCAUGCAUACAGAUGUUAACAAGUGUGUACAUGUAGCUUCCUUUCUGUAUGACAACAAUCAAUUGGUACUUAUUAAUUUAAAAGUAUAUACUCCAUUAAUUCUUAUUAUAGCGGAUGAGCUUUAAAGAUGAACAGGUUACGUAAGACAUAGAGCGCGUACACAGCAGAUCAUUGACAUGUGUACGAGGAAUUCUUUUUUUUCCAAGAGAGGACGUAGAGAGAAGUCCAACAUGCAUACGUACACAUUUUAGUUAGAAAAGCACACCAACUUCAACUCAAAAAGAAAAGGCACACCAACUUUUUUGAGAUAACACAUGUAUAGGGGAGUCCAACGCGCAUACAUAGACAUUAGUUAGAAAAUGAAAACAACUAAAAAGAGCAAACUACGAGAGGUCUGUUCUCAGGAAUAAAAAGCACAUACACAGCCGAAAAAAGGCAGGAAGGUCUAUACCAAAUAAAAAACGCCUUAUCGGAUAAUAUUGAAAUAUAUAUGAGUCUUUCCCGGACAUGUAUGCCGAACUUGGAAGAGCUGGUGUCCCUGUCUAUCUAGGAUUCUAAUUGAAUGCAAAUCUUAUUUUUGUAACUUUUUUUAACACUGUUUUGCAACUCCCACAUGCACGCAUGCAAACAGGAAAGCUAGCAUACAUGUAUGUAAGCUUAUCUCCGUACUUGCACGACAAAUAAGAAAAUAGACAUCUAUAAUACCAUAGCUAACACAUCAAAAUAUCCCAUACACUUAUCAAACUACCGCGCAUUGAAUACAGAAGCGAUGAGCGCCCAGCUAAUUGAAAUAUCAAAUCCAUAGAUUCGCACAGGACCUGCAUUAGAUGAGUUAAGAAAACAUUGUAUCUGGUGAACACCACAAAAAUUAUUUUUAAAAUUAAUUUGGUAAUACAAAAUGUUUGCAAAAGAAUCAUAAAUAUUCUAUAUGAAGUCCAUAAAAAAUAAUUCUGUAAAUUACAAUGAAAGGAUAUUUUAGCAAUUUUCAAUGAGUAGUUGCAUUUUCUUAGAUGAGCAAGUUACAUAGUAAUUAAUAACCAAAAGAUUAGCAUGAUUGCAACUGUAUUGUCGUAAUCAAGGAAUGCAAUUAGAACAUGUCGGGGCAAAGGAAACGAGAUGAUAAGGCGAGACUGAACAAUGUUUAGACUUGAUCUCAUGGCAGCAAUUUCUCAAAACAAUAUAGACACAUAGCCAGACACUGAGAGAUGAGAUGUGGAAGGGGUAAGAACAUGACAAUGCAUAUUAUUAUUGCCAUACACUACUUUCAUGCAUAUAGAUGUUAACAAGUGUGUACAUGUAGCUUCCUUUCUACACGGGCAAAAGUUUUAAAAUCUUAUUACAAAGUUUGGAUAAUAACCACUUUGAUAUACAUGAUUCUGAAAUCAUAUUAGCCGACAAGAUUCCAUAAGCAAGAUAAGAAACCAUAUGUGUAGCUAAUUUGGAUCUUGCAUUUGUGUGUGCACCAUAUAACAUUGUAUAUGUUCACCAUAUAGCAGUGCCUAUACGUGGUAAUUAAGACGCAAGAAGCCAACAAGAAAACUAGCCGCACAUAAAUCGCUGAACUUGAAAACUUAACCUGCAGCUAGACGCAUGCAUGUUUCACAUUAAGCUGAUGCUUUUGCUACCUACCUCAUUAAAAGUGCAUCUAAACCUCCUUUUUUUACUGUCAAUCAAUAAUUAAAUGCAAGGGUCUCUUGCUAGGUUCAGUUAGACUUAAUUCCAACAGAUCCAUAUGUUUGCUUUACUGUGUUCUCUACUACAGAAUUCAGAGAACAAGUAUAAGUGCACUUCUCCACCCACAAAGUUUUGGUAUAAUUUCUGAUUUCACACGAAAAGUUGUUUAGUAAUGGAAAGAUAAAAUCUUAUUCUGAUUUCUAGAUCAUUCAACUUCAAAAAAAACUUAUAUGGCUGAAACAACACUUACAUUUGGUAGAAGUCCGGGCAGCAGGAGGGCAACAGCUAACAGCCAUUCACAGAAGAUACUCAUGUCUUGCAGAUAUUUCUUCCUCUGCGAGCUCCCUCAAUGCCUCCGCGACCCCAACAUCCAGAGCCUCCGGGCACGACAAGUUUGAGCAGCGCAACCCGCGUCCGCACUGGACAUCUCCGUGACCGCGUUGCCAGAGUCGACGAGUUCACCGAGAUCCACGCACUCACCCAGCCACAUGUGCCACCACCAAGGAAGAAAAAUCAGGAGAAAAGAAGCGACAUGUGGAUCUGGGAUAGCGUGAGGAUUAGUUUCCUGAUGGGGCACAGAGACGUCGUCCUUCGCCGGCGGCAAAUCGGAAGAAAUGGCGGAUGUGUAUGAGGAGCCUGGCGGGGAUCGUACUGGAGAAGAGGAGAGUUCUUUUUUUUCACGGAGAGAGAGAGUUCUAUGUAGAUAUUUCUUUUAGGGCUGAGAGUUCU
RNAcentral lists this long non-coding RNA (6256 nucleotides) under Triticum aestivum (bread wheat). RNAcentral describes it as "long non-coding RNA (TAES_LNC027133)". The record is from RNAcentral. Lineage: Eukaryota; Viridiplantae; Streptophyta; Magnoliopsida; Poales; Poaceae.